Long non-coding RNA from Perca fluviatilis (European perch), 359 nucleotides. RefSeq lists it as uncharacterized. The transcript is spliced from 3 exons. The record is from RefSeq and is a predicted model, not a curated record. NCBI's taxonomy places the organism in Eukaryota, Metazoa, Chordata, Actinopteri, Perciformes, Percidae.
GGUGGAUCGUCGUCGAAAUCCAGGAAGAGAUUAUCUGGCCAAUGCUGGGUGUCUAAGGCCUUUGAAACGCAUAGAAGACAAAGAUCUCUUGGUGGAGGAUAUCAUCAUGUUUCAGCUGGUUCAUCGAGUUAGUGGAGCACUUCAAAGGUUCAGGGAGGGGAUGAAGACCCUUGGUGUUCUUGAUGCAAUAAGAAUGCACCCAGAUGCUUUCAGACUGCUGUUUUGUCACGAGCCAUCCCCACUCACAGCGGAUGUACUAGAACUGUCAGCAGUGGGCAGGAACAAAAGAAGGGCAGAGGAAUGUGUGCAUUUUGGAGGGACUACCUGCUGGAUGUUGAGGGUAAGUAUUAUUGCUAGUU